Molecule: small RNA, 797 nt
Filed under: Pongo abelii (Sumatran orangutan)
Lineage: Eukaryota; Metazoa; Chordata; Mammalia; Primates; Hominidae
Description: retained intron
Source: RNAcentral
AUUCCCAGUACAGCGUGGAGGGGUUAGGCAGCGUGUCUGAUUCUCUGCGGAACGGCGAGCACAUUUGUGCUUUGCCCGCCGCGGCCCAGGAGGCCUUUUGGGGCCGCGUAGUCGGUGUUUUUGAACUGACUCCACAGCUCGUGGCGGGCCGUGCGGCGCCCUGACCCGGCCUGACCAUGUUGGUGCUGUUUGAAACGUCUGUGGGCUACGCCAUCUUUAAGGUUCUAAAUGAGAAGAAACUUCAAGAGGUUGAUAGUUUAUGGAAAGAAUUUGAAACUCCAGAGAAAGCAAACAAAAUGUAAGUAAUCUUGAAAUCAGUAAUUUAGCAGUUAACAUUUAGGGCUUGUUUUAUUUUUUACAUUUUUUCCUGAUUUAUAUAAUGUUACAUUCAUAGUUUUCUGUUUUGAAAUCUGUUUCAGGAAUAAUUUUGGUAUGAACCUAUUUAUUACAAAUGUUUUACUUGGAAUAUAGGCCAUCUCAAUUAAUUUGAAGGCAGUAGUUCCCCCCCCCCCUUACCCACAGGGAUUAUGUUCCAGAAGACCCAGUGGAUACGUUAAAUCUUGGAUACUACCAAAUGUGAUUGCUGUCAGUAGGAACACGUUUGUCUUCAUGUCUUCCACACACAAAUGUAAUACCUUUUUUAUCUUAACUAAGCACUUACCACACACAGAGGUUGUAACCUGCUUUUUGAGUUUUGCAACAGCAAAACUAGCAUGAACUACUUUUUCUUUCAUCACAAUUUCAUGGAAGAUUCAUUCUUAGUGUAGAUUUUAAAUCUUUGUUUUUUUUGUUUGUUU